UAUUAGAGUUGGCUGAGCAUGAAAACCAUAAUACAUUAUGCCAAGGAAUCUGUUAUCACUGUGAUGUAACACAGAGAAAUGGUCAGAAUAACCAGAAGAAUGGCCAGAAAGAGGUGUGGCCAAGGAUGUAGCCAGAGGACUCUAGAUGAAUGAAGGUAAUCUUGAGGGGAAGGGAGCUCAAAGAGUCUGGAGGCGAAUUUUAAGCCUUUUCAGACUCUACUGCCUUAUUCAUCCUAACUGUUUCAGGAUAUUCCCCUUCCCACAGUGGAGAAGUCUCUAUUAUGUAAUCUUAAAUACAGAUCUAAGCCCAGGAGAUAAAGUGUAUAAGAAAUGA
RNAcentral lists this long non-coding RNA (334 nucleotides) under Monodelphis domestica (gray short-tailed opossum). Its description in RNAcentral is "lncRNA (ENSMODG00000034353.2)". The record is from RNAcentral. Lineage: Eukaryota; Metazoa; Chordata; Mammalia; Didelphimorphia; Didelphidae.